Molecule: transfer RNA, 100 nt
Filed under: Streptomyces cyanogenus
Lineage: Bacteria; Bacillati; Actinomycetota; Actinomycetes; Kitasatosporales; Streptomycetaceae
Description: tRNA-Gly
Source: RNAcentral
GACGAGGCGUGGGCCUCGUUCAUGGGACCCGGGGUGCCGCCGGCGGCCCGGAUGCGGGGGCCGGUGUUCACCCCGGCGCGCAGGUUCGCCGGUCUCGCCG